GUUCUUAUAGUUGAAUUACAACGGUGGUUUUUCAGGCCGCUAGUCUUGGUUAAAACCCGAGUAGGAAUU
Molecule: transfer RNA, 69 nt
Filed under: Leptocephalus sp. 'type II larva'
Lineage: Eukaryota; Metazoa; Chordata; Actinopteri; Anguilliformes; Nettastomatidae
Description: tRNA-Glu
Rfam family: tRNA
About the family: Transfer RNA (tRNA) molecules are approximately 80 nucleotides in length. Their secondary structure includes four short double-helical elements and three loops (D, anti-codon, and T loops). Further hydrogen bonds mediate the characteristic L-shaped molecular structure. tRNAs have two regions of fundamental functional importance: the anti-codon, which is responsible for specific mRNA codon recognition, and the 3' end, to which the tRNAs corresponding amino acid is attached (by aminoacyl-tRNA synthetases). tRNAs cope with the degeneracy of the genetic code in two manners: having more than one tRNA (with a specific anti-codon) for a particular amino acid; and 'wobble' base-pairing, i.e. permitting non-standard base-pairing at the 3rd anti-codon position.
Source: RNAcentral